RNAcentral lists this ribosomal RNA (481 nucleotides) under uncultured bacterium. RNAcentral's name for it is "partial 16S ribosomal RNA". It matches the Rfam family "Bacterial small subunit ribosomal RNA", at positions 28 to 507 of the family's 1533-position model. The record is from RNAcentral.
GAUGAACGCUGGCGGCGUGCUUAACACAUGCAAGUCGAACGAAGCACUUUAUUUGAUUUCCUUCGGGACUGAUUAUUUUGUGACUGAGUGGCGGACGGGUGAGUAACGCGUGGGUAACCUGCCUUGUACAGGGGGAUAACAGUUGGAAACGGCUGCUAAUACCGCAUAAGCGCACGGCAUCGCAUGAUGCAGUGCGAAAAACUCCGGUGGUAUAAGAUGGACCCGCGUUGGAUUAGCUAGUUGGUGAGGUAACGGCCCACCAAGGCGACGAUCCAUAGCCGACCUGAGAGGGUGACAGGCCACAGUGGGGAUGAGACACGGCACAAACUCCUACGGGAGGCAGCAGUGGGGAAUAUUGCACAAUGGGCGAAAGCCUGAUGCAGCGACGCCGCGUGAGCGAAGAAGUAUUUCGGUAUGUAAAGCUCUAUCAGCAGGGAAGAUAAUGACGGUACCUGACGAAGAAGCACCGGCUAAAUACGUG